RNAcentral lists this ribosomal RNA (847 nucleotides) under uncultured bacterium. RNAcentral's name for it is "bacterial SSU rRNA". It matches the Rfam family "Bacterial small subunit ribosomal RNA", at positions 28 to 896 of the family's 1533-position model. The record is from RNAcentral.
AAUCAACGCUGGCGGCGCGCUUAACACAUGCAAGUCGGACGAGAAAGGGGAGCAAUCCCUGAGUAAAGUGGCGUACGGGUGAGUAACACGUGGGUAAUCUACCUUCUGGUGGGGAAUAACCCUGGGAAACCGGGGCUAAUACCGCAUAAGGCCCCAUUGAUUAGAUGGUGGCGAAAGGAGCAAUUCGCCGGAAGAGGAGCCCGCGGCUGAUUAGCUAGUUGGUGAGGUAAAGGCUCACCAAGGCAUUGAUCGGUAGCCGGCCUGAGAGGGCACACGGCCACACUGGCACUGAAACACGGGCCAGACUCCUACGGGAGGCAGCAGUGGGGAAUCUUGCACAAUGGGGGAAACCCUGAUGCAGCGACGCCGCGUGAGCGAUGAAGCCCUUCGGGGUGUAAAGCUCUUUCGGCAGGGACGAUAAUGACGGUACCUGAAGAAGAAGCUGCGGCUAACUACGUGCCAGCAGCCGCGGUAAUACGUAGGCAGCGAGCGUUGUUCGGAGUUACUGGGCGUAAAGAGUGCGUAGGCGGUUUUCUAAGUUUGGUGUGAAAUCUCCCGGCUUAACUGGGAGGGUGCGCCGAAAACUGGAAGGCUUGAGUAUGGGAGAGGUAAGCGGAAUUCCUGGUGUAGCGGUGAAAUGCGUAGAUAUCAGGAGGAACACCUGCGGUGUAGACGGCUUACUGGACCAUAACUGACGCUGAGGCACGAAAGCGUGGGUAGCAAACAGGAUUAGAUACCCUGGUAGUCCACGCCCUAAACGAUGCAUACUUGGUGUGGGUAGUUCAUUCUAUCCGUGCCGGAGCUAACGCGUUAAGUAUGCCGCCUGGGGAGUACGGUCGCAAGGCUG